CCACAAAACACAAAUUUGUCCAGCCACAUGUUCAGAAAUGUGGUUUGUUCCUUUAUGUUGACAGGCCCCGUUCUACGGUACUUCUGAAUGUACCCAGACCAACCUCCGAUAGAGCGGGUUUCCACCUUGGCACUAGGUGUGGUGUCAAAUAUGUGACUACUAUCGGUAGUAGAUACAUCUAAGCCGGUGAGCAUAAGCACAUCGGCAAGAGUGGGAGAAGCAGGGCCAUGACCGAAGACAAAAGCAUUAAGUGUGUCUGACCAGAAAUAUGAUGCAGCAAUCAGCAGUGAUUCAUUCCUAUGCAUAUCGGCAAGACAUAGCCUAAUGCACUGGUCUAGUUUUCGUUCGCCCCACUGAACCUCAUUCGAAUGGCUGACUCUCAAGAACCAAUCCUUCCAUCCCACAGUAGGACUGGGCCAGGAACGGAAGGUAUCUUUCCACAGAUCUAGAGAAAAAUUCUCGGCUCUAAAGGGGAUUCUGUUUGUUUUUGCGUUGAUAAGAUCGGUGGGAUCUGGGUUCCCUAGCGGACUGAGACAUUGGAGGUGUGGCUGAUCAGUAGGGAUGACAAUUUUAUUGGACAAAUCCUAAUGGUUUUUGGGGUAAAAAGAAGAACAAAAGAAAAAAAAAGAAUGUUCAGUAAAAUAAAUUGCGGAUGAACAAGGAUAUGGUAAAAGUACAAGAGGUACGGUGAUGAAUUGACCUCGGGAACAGCAAAGUUGAUGGCCAUCUCCUCGCGGAGAAGAUGAUCGAAGACUUUGAGGUUGGUGAAGAAAGGUCUUUGUUGGAGUUCUUGGAGCUCUCGAACAGCGCCGCCGCCAGAAAAGUGAAGUUGGAGCUGUAGAAUGAUUCGAUGGAGAAGGAGUACCCGAGAAGGAGCUAUUUAUAGGACAAAACGGGCAAGGCAAAUCUAACUUAUCUCUUCGCCGUAUCCGUAAAAUCCGAGAGUACUCAGGUGGAUAUGGUAACUGUUCGCACGGUAAUCAAGGGAUUGCGCAGGUGAUUUGACAGGAAGCGGUCAUAAUCUAGAGAUAUUUCACUGUGCGGGAUUUCCUGGUCGG
RNAcentral lists this long non-coding RNA (1058 nucleotides) under Sorghum bicolor (sorghum). Its description in RNAcentral is "long non-coding RNA (SBIC_LNC006416)". Lineage: Eukaryota; Viridiplantae; Streptophyta; Magnoliopsida; Poales; Poaceae. The record is from RNAcentral.